AGUGAACGCUGGCGGUAGGCCUAACACAUGCAAGUCGAACGGCAGCACAGUAAGAGCUUGCUCUUACGGGUGGCGAGUGGCGGACGGGUGAGGAAUACAUCGGAAUCUACUUUUUCGUGGGGGAUAACGUAGGGAAACUUACGCUAAUACCGCAUACGACCUACGGGUGAAAGCAGGGGAUCUUCGGACCUUGCGCGAUUGAAUGAGCCGAUGUCGGAUUAGCUAGUUGGCGGGGUAAAGGCCCACCAAGGCGACGAUCCGUAGCUGGUCUGAGAGGAUGAUAAGACACACUGGGACGAAGACACGGCACAGACUCCUACGGGAGGCAGGAGGGGGGAAGAUGGGAAAAGGGGGGCAACACGGAUCAAGCCAUGCCGCGUGAGUGACGACGGCCUUAGGGUGGGAAAGCGCUGUUCGCCGGGACGAUAAUGACGGGACCGGAGGAAUAAGCACAGGCUAAAUUCGUG
Molecule: ribosomal RNA, 467 nt
Filed under: uncultured bacterium
Lineage: Bacteria
Description: partial 16S ribosomal RNA
Rfam family: Bacterial small subunit ribosomal RNA
Source: RNAcentral